This 468-nucleotide ribosomal RNA is filed under the name uncultured bacterium. RNAcentral describes it as "partial 16S ribosomal RNA". It matches the Rfam family "Bacterial small subunit ribosomal RNA", at positions 28 to 507 of the family's 1533-position model. The record is from RNAcentral.
GGCGAACGCUGGCGGCGUGCUUAACACAUGCAAGUCGAACGAUAAAAGAGGAGCUUGCUCCUCUGGAUUAGUGGCGCACGGGUGUGUCACACGUGAGCAAUCUGCCCCUGACUCCGGUAUAACUACGGGACACUGUCGCUAAUACCGGAUAUGCGCCGAACAGGCGUUUGUAUCGGUGGGAAAGAAUUUCGGUCAGGGAUGAGCUCGCGCACUAUCAGCUUGUUGGUGCGGUAACGGCUCACAAAGGCGACGACGGGUAGCCGGCCUGAGAGGGUGACCGGCCACAUGGGGACUGAGCGACGGACAAGACUCCGACGGGAGGCAGCAGUGGGGAAUAUUGCACAAGGGGCGGAAGCCUGAUGCAGCAACGCCGCGUGAGGGAUGACGGCCUUCGGGUUGUAAACCUCUUUUAGCAGGGAAGAAGCGAAAGUGACGGUACCUGCAGAAAAAGCGCCGGCUAACUACGUG